GAUGAACGCUAGCUACAGGCUUAACACAUGCAAGUCGAGGGGCAGCACAGUGUAGCAAUACAUGGGUGGCGACCGGCGCACGGGUGCGUAACGCGUAUCCAACCUUCCCGUUACUCUUGGAUAGCCUUCCGAAAGGGAGAUUAAUACAAGAUGGUAUUCAAAUUCCGCAUGUUAUUUGAAUUAAAGAUUUAUCGGUAACGGAUGGGGAUGCGUGACAUUAGGUAGAUGGCGGGGUAACGGCCCACCAUGCCUACGAUGUCUAGGGGUUCUGAGAGGAAGGUCCCCCACACUGGAACUGAGACACGGUCCAGACUCCUACGGGAGGCAGCAGUGAGGAAUAUUGGUCAAUGGUCGGAAGACUGAACCAGCCAAGUAGCGUGAAGGAUGAAGGUUCUAUGGAUUGUAAACUUCUUUUAAUACGGGAAUAAAACCACCUACGUGUAGGUGCUUGUAUGUACCGUAUGAAUAAGCAUCGGCUAACUCCGUGCCAGCAGCCGCGGU
RNAcentral lists this ribosomal RNA (501 nucleotides) under uncultured bacterium. Its description in RNAcentral is "bacterial SSU rRNA". It matches the Rfam family "Bacterial small subunit ribosomal RNA", at positions 28 to 521 of the family's 1533-position model. The record is from RNAcentral.